UGAGCUCGACUAGCCCAGUAAAGAAUAUUAUGAGUAAGAUAAUAUACAACAAAAUUAUCGUUAGUCUUCAACAGGGAAAAAUAUAAUAGAAUACAAUAGACAACAAGUUUUAAAUCAAUAUUCGCAGCGGAAAUAAUAAUUCAUUAGAAGAGUUAAGUAGAGAAUGCAAACUACUAUCUUCUAUGUAUGAAUUUUAAAGUUCGUCAUCUAUUUUUAUCCCUGUAACAUCAAUCAAUAUAUAUCUGAGAUCAAAU
RNAcentral lists this long non-coding RNA (254 nucleotides) under Panax ginseng (ginseng). Its description in RNAcentral is "long non-coding RNA (PGIN_LNC006353)". Lineage: Eukaryota; Viridiplantae; Streptophyta; Magnoliopsida; Apiales; Araliaceae. The record is from RNAcentral.